RNA transcript from Bombus huntii, 3862 nucleotides. It is a transcript of the gene named vacuolar protein sorting-associated protein 41 homolog, with no coding region annotated. The transcript has 15 exons. The record is from RefSeq and is a predicted model, not a curated record. Lineage: Eukaryota; Metazoa; Arthropoda; Insecta; Hymenoptera; Apidae.
AGUACUAGGAACGAAACUAGGAAAAAGAAAGUUUAUGAUAUAUAACUGUAUACGAAGAAAAGAUUUGACAUUUCGUGGUUACGAACAUUAGUAAGCUUCUUUAUAAUCAAAAAAUUAAAGAAACGGGCAUGGAAAAUACCUCGAAUAAGGAAGAACAGAAUAAUCAGAAUGAUUCAGACUCUGAGGUAGAUGAGGUAGAACCUAGACUCAAAUACGUCAGAGUACGAAAUGAUUUAGAACAUAUAUUACAAAAUGAUGCAGCUAGUUGCAUUGCAGUACAUCCUAAGUUCCUAUGUCUGGGUUCACACUGGGGUAUGAUACAUCUUUUAGAUCAUCAAGGAAAUAAUAUACAGUCUAAAAGUUUACAAGCACAUACAGUUGCUGUCAAUCAGAUUUCUAUAGACCAUAAUGGAGAUUUCAUUGCAUCCUGUAGUGAUGAUGGAAAAGUUUUUAUAUAUGGUCUUUACAGCACAGAGAAUAAUCAUAAUAUGAGCAUGGGUAGAUUAGUUAAAAGUAUAGCUAUAGAUCCAAAUUAUUAUAAAAGUUGUAGCGGAAGAAGAUUUAUUACAGGGGAUGAUAAAUUGGUUUUGUAUGAAAAAACAUUUUUAUCCAGAAUGAAACUAACUGUAUUGUGCGAUGCGGAAGGAGGAGUAAGAUCAAUUGCAUGGAUUGGACAUUUUGUGGCUUGGGCAUCUGAUACUGGUGUCAGAAUCUAUGAUUUAAAUGCCAAAUGUUCAUUAGGUCUCAUUAAGUGGACUAGAUCUACUGAUGCAUUGCCAGAACAUUACAGAUGUAAUCUUCGAUGGUCAGAUGAUAGAACAUUAUUAAUUGGUUGGGUUGACAUAGUGCGAAUUUGUCAAAUUAGAAAGAGGUCGAUACAGGAAAUGGUUAAUAGAGACCUACCGGAAUUUGUGGUAGAUCCAGUUUCAACUUUCCAAGUGGAUUUUUAUAUUUCCGGUAUUGCACCUUUAGAAAAUCAGUUAGUAUUACUAGGUUGCUUGAAAGAAUUGGAUGAAGAUGGAAAGAGUCAGAGGCCCACAUUACAUGUUGUUGAACCAAAGUAUCAUGAUUUUACUCUUGUGUGUGCAAAUUCGCUUACACUUCGUGGUUAUAAAGAAUACAGUUGUAAUGAUUAUCAUUUAGACUGUUUGAAAGAGGAAAACAGGUUUUUUAUUGUCAGUCCAAAAGAUAUUGUUGUAGCUAGUUUAUAUGAUGCGGAUGACAGAAUUGAGUGGCUAUUGAGUCAUGGAAAAUUUGAACAAGCAUUAGAGGCAGUAACAUUAGAUAAUGGCAAAGAUUGUAAGAAGUACACUUUUGUUUAUGUUGGCCGUAUAUACUUAGAUCAUUUGUUAGCUUGUGGAAAAUAUGAUGAAGCAGGAAAACUCUGCUCUAAAAUUUUAGGAAAGGAUAAAAAAUUGUGGGAGGAAGAAGUAUAUAAAUUUGCAAGAGUUCACCAACUGAGGUCUAUUUCUUCUUAUCUUCCAAGAGGCGAUGUCACGUUAGAUCCAUUGAUUUACGAAAUGGUUCUUUAUGAAUAUUUGAAAAUGGAUCCUGAUGGAUUUCUUCAACUAGUCAAAGAAUGGUCUCCUAAAUUAUAUAAAGUUGCAGCUGUUGUAAAUGGUGUUUUGGAACAUCUUAUCGUUGAUAAUCAACGACAAAAUGUACUGUUAGAAGCUUUAGCUAUUCUAUAUAUUCAUGAUGAAAAAUACGACAAAGCGUUAGCCAUGUAUUUAAAAUUGAGACAUAAAGAUGUAUUUCAGCUUAUUAAAAAAUACCAUCUGUAUAAUACCGUUUACGACAUGAUAGAAGGUUUAAUGGAUUUAGAUGCGGAACGUGCUAUACAAUUUUUUUUAGAAAAGGAUGCAGUACCAUCUGAUAUCGUUGUACAAAAAUUGCAGCAUAAUCACCGAUAUUUAUACUUGUAUUUAGAUGAAUUAAAUAAAAAAGAUACAGAAGAUAAAUAUCAUGGAUUGUUAGUCCAGCUUUAUGCUAAUUAUUCAAGAGAUAAAUUGUUACCUCUUCUACGCCGUUCUAAUAAUUAUCCAAUACAACAAGCACUAGAUAUCUGUAGUCAGCGAAAAUUUUAUCCAGAAAUGGUAUAUCUACUUGGUAGAAUUGGAAACACUUCUGAAGCUUUAGCACUUAUGACUAGAGAAUUAAACGAUAUGCAGAGUGCGAUCGCAUUUUGUCAAGAACACGAUGACGAGGAACUGUGGAAUGAUUUGAUUAUUUAUUCUUUGGAUAAGCCCAAGGCUAUUACAUUUUUGUUGCAAAAAAUAGGCACAUAUGUUGAUCCUAGACUUAUGGUACAAAGAAUAGAACCGUCUUUAGAAAUUCCUGGUUUAAAGAAAGCUUUAGUUAAGAUGAUGUGUGACUACAAUCUCCAAGUGUCAGUACAAGAAGGAUGUAGAAAAAUGUUAUCCAAUGAUUAUUUCAAUUUACAUGAAAGGCUAGUUAAAUGUUAUCAAAAAGGGAUAUUUAUAGAUGAUGACCAAAUGUGUGGAGCUUGCCAUAGGAAAAUAAUUGUAAGAGAACCAAGGAAUUUAGUUGUAUUUUAUUGUAAACAUUCGUUUCAUGAAGAUUGUCUACCAAAUUUCGAGGUAGUGGAAAAUUGUGUUAUAUGUAACUCGCAAAAAGAUAUAUCUCCUAGCAGAAAAUGAUACAGCUUUUGUAAUAUUUGAUCAAUAGUAGCACAUUUAGUACAUAUUUUGAAUACUUUAAGACAUCCAGGACAUAUCGAAUAAGACUGAAAAUUAAAGAAUUAUAUGAUUGUUUUAUAAAUAUAAUACCGAUAUAAAAUUGUAUUAUAAAUACAUAUAAAAUUUACUUUAUGAUCUCCACAAACUUGAAUAAUAGCUUGACAUUGAUCACAAGUUCUCUUUAAUUGCGGCAGUGGAAUUUCGACGUUGCCGAACUAAUAAUUUUUGACCCACCGAAAUGACCAUCAAUAGACAUCGAAGAUUGCACAUGCACUAAAAAUUCCCGAGCCUUGGGCCCGAUGGAUUCUACCAAAAUACAAUAACCGCCUAUUGGUUCCGUCUCCUUCAUAGGUUCAUUUUUUAAAGAAAUUAUUAAGGUCUCCCGGAAACAUAAAUCUGCUUGAUUUACAUCGUCUGAAGUACAAAAAGAAAGAAGCUGAGUAUUUAGAACAGCAUAAUAUUUUUUUCAAAAAAGAAUUUACAGUCUAAUAGUGAAAACGACAUAGCUUAUAAGUAUCAAAAAAAUUACAUUCCAAAUACAAUUCAUUUCACCAGCAGCGAAUAAAUUUACCAACUUGUACAUUAGAUAUUAUUCUAUAUUAUAUUUUAUUAUGUACCGUUUUUUAUGGACGUUUAUUUGUUUUAUUUAUGGAAUAUCUUUAUUCGUUGUUGGAGAAAUUUAGUUAGAGCGAAUUAUUUUAAUAGGAUAUGGGGUGCAAACAUUUUAUUAUUGUGAAAAAUUUUUAACGGGUUCAUUAUUAAUAUUUACUUGUUUUGUUCAAAAUUGAUCGAUCGUAAAUUCAUAAUUUAUUGUACAUACUAACGUAUAGAUUACGAUUUCAGAAUGAAAUUAUUUUACAAUAAAACGUAGGGACAUUAUGAUUUAUGCUUUAAUAUGUACAGUAAGAAAUUUGUCAAAUUGUUACGAUAUAUAAUAUUCUGUAUUUUGUACAACAAGGUGCCAUCAUUGUAUAAAAUAAUUUUGGUGUGUGUUCUGUGGUAUUAAGAGAUUUUAUGAGUACACGAUUUAUCCAUAAUGUCACAGCUAUACCUAAGAUAUUUUAUCUAGGUCUCCAUGUAAAUAUUGUGUCUAAGUUGCAGUGUAGAACAAUAAUAAUGUGUAAAGUAUAAUUAAUAUAUAAAUUUUUUACGUCGCUUAAAAA